This 223-nucleotide long non-coding RNA is filed under the name Physcomitrium patens. RNAcentral's name for it is "long non-coding RNA (PPAT_LNC006296)". The record is from RNAcentral. Lineage: Eukaryota; Viridiplantae; Streptophyta; Bryopsida; Funariales; Funariaceae.
UUACUUGAGAAGCUUCCUAGCUCUUAGGUAGUUGCUCGAGAAGCUUCAUAGUUCUUGGGAAGCUUCUUGAUGCGCUUCCUUAGAACCAUAGGCCAGUAGUAUAUAUAGGAGUCGUAGCUGAAGAGUUCUUCAGUCUCGACAACACAUCUCUUGAAGCUCUAGCUCAAUUCUCUUGGCGUUGCUCUUGUACUCAUCUGAUAAUCUAGUUCUUAUCAUUUCUUCU